CAGGCAAGCUGACCAAUGUCAUUGCUGAUCAUAUGUAGUAAACUUUUUGCCAUAUCUUCUUUGGAAAACUCUUUAUCUGCUGUAGUAGAUUUCCCAAAGCUGCUAGCUAUCAGGUUCCCACUUAGCCCCAGGGUCUGGCAGGCGCCUCCAUACACAUCUUUCACCAGCAUGUCUACGUUUGUGUGCUGUCCCUUGGAAGCGAGUUGCAGCAAUUCAUCAAAUUUCUUUGUUUUAGUGAGCAGUGCUCCAAGACCCCAGAAGGUUCCACCUCCAAUUGAGCUCCCUCCUAUCCAUUCAAAUUUGUCUUCCGAUUCUACCUUCACUAUUGAAACCCCAGAGCCAAUGUUCACCAGUAAGUAAGGGAAAAUGUUUGGGUGAUUUGUCUGAAAUCGGAACUCUGUAUCUGAAUCUUUCUGGUAUGCAAACACUUCAUGGGGUAUGUUCCUUAGCAGAAAGUUACAUCCUUUGAUCAGGCAGGUCAUUACAUCUUCUUUAUCUACUUUCAACCCCAACUUCUUCUCAAUAAGAUCUUUAAAUUUAUAGGCACCACCACCUGUAGCUUUGAUGACUUUAGUCUCUGUAUUGACAAGAUGGUCUUUGAUGAAAUCUAGACAAGUUUCGAUAUAAUUGUUCUCAAACUUGAUGAAGUGAAGUCGAG
This 658-nucleotide long non-coding RNA is filed under the name Gallus gallus (chicken). Lineage: Eukaryota; Metazoa; Chordata; Aves; Galliformes; Phasianidae. The record is from RNAcentral.